AAUAGAUACCCAGGUAGUCCUAGCCGUAAACGAUGCAUACUGGAUGUAGGAAGGCUCAACCCUUUCUGUAUCGGAGCUAACGCGUUAAGUAUGCCGCCUGGGGAGUACGCCCGCAAGGGUGAAACCCAAAAGAAUUGACGGGGGCCCGCACAAGCAGUGGAGCAUGUGGUUUAAUUCGAUGCAACGCGAAGAACCCUACCCAGGCUCGAAGUGUAGAGAAAAACAGCAGAAAUGUUGCGUCCCGCAAGGGGUUCUAUAUAGGUGCUGCAUGGCUGUCGUCAGCUCGUGCCGUGAGGUGUUGGGUUAAGUCCCGCAACGAGCGCAACCCUUAUUGUCAGUUGCCAACGCGUGAAGGCGGGGACUCUGGCAAGACUGCCCAGGUUAACUGGGAGGAAGGUGAGGAUGACGUCAAGUCCGCAUGGCCUUUAUGUCUGGGGCUACACACGUGCUACAAUGGUCGGUACAGAGGGCAGCGAAGCCGCGAGGCGGAGCAAAUCCAAAAAACCGAUCUCAGUUCAGAUUGCAGU
RNAcentral lists this ribosomal RNA (527 nucleotides) under uncultured bacterium. RNAcentral describes it as "bacterial SSU rRNA". It matches the Rfam family "Bacterial small subunit ribosomal RNA", at positions 777 to 1304 of the family's 1533-position model. The record is from RNAcentral.